RNAcentral lists this ribosomal RNA (1057 nucleotides) under uncultured Bacteroidota bacterium. Its description in RNAcentral is "bacterial SSU rRNA". It matches the Rfam family "Bacterial small subunit ribosomal RNA", at positions 11 to 1058 of the family's 1533-position model. The record is from RNAcentral. Lineage: Bacteria; Pseudomonadati; Bacteroidota.
GUUUGAUCCUGGCUCAGGAUGAACGCUAGCGGCGGGCUUAAUACAUGCAAGUCGUACGGGAUCCGAGGUAACAAUACUUUGGUGAGAGUGGCGCACGGGUGCGUAACACGUAUGCAACCUACCUAUAACCGGGACACAACCUCGAGAAAUUGUGGCUAAUAUCCCAUAACACUGCGAAAUGGCAUCAUUUUGCAGUUAAAACUCCGGUGGUUAUAGAUGGGCAUGCGCGACAUUAGCUAGUUGGUGAGGUAACGGCCCACCAAGGCUACGAUGUCUAGGGGUUCUGAGAGGAUUAUCCCCCACACUGGUACUGAGACACGGACCAGACUCCUACGGGAGGCAGCAGUAAGGAAUAUUGGUCAAUGGGCGCAAGCCUGAACCAGCCAUGCCGCGUGAAGGACGAAGGCCCUAUGGGUUGUAAACUUCUUUUGUACGGGAAAAAACCUCCGGUCGUGUAUCGGUGCUGAUGGUACCGUAAGAAUAAGCAUCGGCUAACUCCGUGCCAGCAGCCGCGGUAAUACGGAGGAUGCAAGCGUUAUCCGGAUUCAUUGGGUUUAAAGGGUGCGCAGGCGGAAUAAUAAGUCAGCGGUGAAAGCCUACAGCUUAACUGUAGAACUGCCAUUGAUACUGUUAUUCUUGAGUGUUGUUGAGGUAGGCGGAAUGUGUCAUGUAGCGGUGAAAUGCUUAGAUAUGACACAGAACACCGAUCGCGAAGGCAGCUUACCAAGCAACAACUGACGCUCAUGCACGAAAGCGUGGGGAUCAAACAGGAUUAGAUACCCUGGUAGUCCACGCCGUAGACGAUGAUCACUCGAUGUUGGCGAUACACAGUCAGCGUCUUAGGGAAACUAUUAAGUGAUCCACCUGGGGCAGUACGGUCGCAAGAUUGAAACUCAAAGGAAUUGACGGGUGGCCCGCACAAGCGGAGGAGCAUGUGGCUUUAAUUCGAUGAUCACGCGAGGAACCAUUGCCUGGGCUCGAACGUAGAAUGACAGGUCGCGGAAACGAUGAUCUUCUUCGGACAUUCUUACGAGGUGACUGCAUAGGUUGUCGUCAG